RNAcentral lists this ribosomal RNA (208 nucleotides) under uncultured bacterium. RNAcentral's name for it is "partial 16S ribosomal RNA". It matches the Rfam family "Bacterial small subunit ribosomal RNA", at positions 568 to 773 of the family's 1533-position model. The record is from RNAcentral.
UUCGUAGGUGGCUAGCUAAGUCAGACGUGAAAUCCCUCAGCUUAACUGGGGAACUGCGUCUGAUACUGGUGGGCUUGAGUGCAGGAGAGGAACGCGGAAUUCCAGGUGUAGCGGUGAAAUGCGUAGAUAUCUGGAGGAACACCGGUGGCGAAGGCGGCGUUCUGGACUGCAACUGACACUGAGGAACGAAAGCCGAGGGGAGACGAAC